AUUGAACGCUGGCGGCAGGCCUAACACAUGCAAGUCGAGCGAAUGAAGGGGGCUUUCGCCCGGAUUCAGUGGCGGGCGGGUGGGUAAUGCCUAGGAGUCUGCCUGGCAGUGAGGGAUGACGUCCGUUAAGGGGCCCUAAUACCGCACACGUCCUGAUGUUGAACGUGGGGGUUCUUCGGACCUAACGGUUUUAGCUGAGCCUAGGUCGGAUUAGCUAGUUGGUUGGGUAAAGGCCUACCAAGGCGACGAUGCGUAACCGGUCUGAGAGGGUGAUCUGUCACACUGGAACUGAGACACGGUCCAGACUCCUACGGGAGGCAGCAGUAGGGAAUCUUCCGCAAUGGGCGAAAGCCUGACGGAGCAACGCCGCGUGAGUGAUGAAGGUCUUCGGAUCGUAAAACUCUGUUAGUAGGGAAGAACAAAUGUGUAAGUAACUAUGCAUGUCUUGACGGUACCUAAUCAGAAAGCAACGGCUAACUACGUG
This 484-nucleotide ribosomal RNA is filed under the name uncultured bacterium. Its description in RNAcentral is "partial 16S ribosomal RNA". It matches the Rfam family "Bacterial small subunit ribosomal RNA", at positions 30 to 507 of the family's 1533-position model. The record is from RNAcentral.